RNAcentral lists this ribosomal RNA (413 nucleotides) under uncultured bacterium. RNAcentral describes it as "bacterial SSU rRNA". It matches the Rfam family "Bacterial small subunit ribosomal RNA", at positions 29 to 433 of the family's 1533-position model. The record is from RNAcentral.
AGCGAACGUUAGCGGCGCGCCUAACACAUGCAAGUCGCACGAGAAAGGGAGCAAUCCCCGGUACAGUGGCGCACGGGUGAGUAACACGUAGAUGACCUUCCCUGGAGUGGUGGAUAACCUGCCGAAAGGCGGGCUAAUACAGCAUGGGACCACAUGGUUUUGACCGAGUGGUGAAAGCGGGCCUCUGUUCACAAGCUCGCGCUCUGGGAUGGGUCUGCGUCCCAUCAGCUAGUUGGUGAGGUAAUGGCUCACCAAGGCAUCGACGGGUAGCUGGUCUGAGAGGAUGACCAGCCACACUGGAACUGAGACACGGUCCAGACUCCUACGGGAGGCAGCAGUGGGGAAUCUUGCGCAAUGGGCGAAAGCCUGACGCAGCGACGCCGCGUGGUGAUGAAGGCCUCGGUUGUAAGACC